GUGAACGCUGGCGGUCGGCCUAACACAUGCAAGUCGAACGGCAGCACCGUAAGCGCUUGCUCUUUCGGGUGGCGAGUGGCGGACGGGUGAGGAAUACAUCGGAAUCUACUUUUUCGUGGGGGAUAACGUAGGGACACUUACGCUAAUCCGGCAUACGUCUUACGGGUGAAAGGCGGGGAUGUUCGGCCCUUGCGCGUUUGCUUGGGCCGAGGUCGGCUUAGCUAGUUGUGGGGGUAAAGGCCCACCAAGGCGACGACCCGUAGCUGGUCUGAGAGGAUGAUCAGCCACACUGGAACUGAGACACGGUCCAGACUCCUACGGGAGGCAGCAGUGGGGAAUAUUGGGCAAUGGGCGCAAGCCUGAUCCAGCCAUGCCGCGUGGGUGAAGAAGGCCUUCGGGUUGUAAAGCCCUUUUGUUGGGAAAGAAAAGCAGCAGGUUAAUACCCCGCUGUUCUGACGGUACCCAAAGAAUAAGCACCGGCUAACUUCGUG
This 491-nucleotide ribosomal RNA is filed under the name uncultured bacterium. Its description in RNAcentral is "partial 16S ribosomal RNA". It matches the Rfam family "Bacterial small subunit ribosomal RNA", at positions 29 to 507 of the family's 1533-position model. The record is from RNAcentral.